AGUGAACGCUGGCGGUAGGCCUAACACAUGCAAGUCGAACGGCAGCACAGUAAGAGCUUGCUCUUACGGGUGGCGAGUGGCGGACGCGUGAGGAAUACAUCGGAAUCUACUUUUUCGUGGGGGAUAACGUAGGGAAACUUACGCUAAUACCGCAUACGACCUACGGGUGAAAGCAGGGGAUCUUCGGACCUUGCGCGAUUGAAUGAGCCGAUGUCGGAUUAGCUAGUUGGCGGGGUAAAGGCCCACCAAGGCGACGAUCCGUAGCUGGUCUGAGAGGAUGAUCAGCCACACUGGAACUGAGACACGGUCCAGACUCCUACGGGAGGCAGCAGUGGGGAAUAUUGGACAAAGGGCGCAAGCCUGAUCCAGCCAUACCGCGUGGGUGAAGAAGGCCUUCGGGUUGUAAAGCCCUUUUGUUGGGAAAGAAAAGCAGCAGGUUAAUACCCCGCUGUUCUGACGGUACCCAAAGAAUAAGCACCGGCUAACUUCGUG
Molecule: ribosomal RNA, 492 nt
Filed under: uncultured bacterium
Lineage: Bacteria
Description: partial 16S ribosomal RNA
Rfam family: Bacterial small subunit ribosomal RNA
Source: RNAcentral